AUUACUUUGAAGAUCUUCACCUCUGCUCAGAUUUAUUUAUUUUUUUAAUUCUCCUUCAGUUACAACAGCAAAGCUUCUGGAAACUUCUCUUUGGCUCGGGGUACUUUGUAAGGACUGGCUCUUGGUUCAAUGGUGAGCUCCAUCUGCAUGCCUGGAGGAGCAUCGGGCUCGCAGGGGAUGCAUCGCAACCAAAGGCUGUGAAGUUCUGGAGCAAGGAAAUUGAAGAAAUAUUCGGAUAAGUCGGAAAUGGUCCUGCUGCACAUGCACAGCAAUUACCCACGUGGGUCUUUGUGACAUUGUUCUUCAGCUGCAGAUCCUGGGAGAUCGCCACAGUCACUCACAAUCAAACAAAAGGAGUAUAAUGAAAGUAUUUUAAUCUGCUGAUCAGCUAUUCGGAGGGAAAGGCCGUGCUAGGUGUCUUCACAGUCUGGAAAUGAACACAGUGAUGUGAGCAUUGUGAGCAGGACACAGGAGCCUUGUUGCUGGGGGAACAGCAGGCUGUCCUCUGCAGGAUCUUCAGCUCUGAGACGCUUCCAGCUGCAACAAACAUCAGUUAACAGAGUUAUAUGAGGAGACUUUGGGAAGGACCCCAAGGAAGAGUGAGGAAGAGCGAUGUAUCUCCUUGCACUGCAGCUCCCUGAAACAUCGACUGGCAUUAAAGCGCUCCUGAAAUCUGCCUUUUUCAGUAGAGAGGACUGACCAAAGGAAAUUACAUUACAGCCAGACAUUAAUUGUUUUCCUAGCGGCUCUUGGAAUGCUCGUGCAUUUGUGGAUUGACACAGCCCUUUGAAAUCUGUCACGAACUGCAAUUCUGCACUUUUGUUGCUUUACUGCAAGAGUUGUUUUCAGGAUGGAGACACAGAUGUCUGUCAGCGUGCUGCAGCUGAGAAAAGAGAAAUUCCGUGACCAACCAAGGAGACAGGUUGGAUACACUUCACUCCGGUAAAGGAGAGGCUCCUCGCAGGCUGGAGCAGGAGGGGACAGACCCAGCACUGGGCACCGCUGCCGUUGUCUCCAGCAGUCUCGGUGGCUUUGUGGCAUGUGAUAAAAGCAGAGGACCUGACUGCCUGACAGAAAAUCUGCCAUCCCUCCGAGGUACUUCUUGUGCUGUAGUGAAUGUCUUCCAGAGGAGGUCUGUCCUAUUUUUCUGUAAUAACAUAAUGUUGCUAUAAAAGGAUGUCAAAACAAUAUCCGUUCAGAGAUUCGUUCGGUUCAGUAUUCAGAGGGGUAUCUUUUGUGGUGGUGUAUCACACUUUACAAUUCUAAUGUAAAAAUAUCAAUACCACUUUGAGCAGUGAUACAGACCUCUGCUAAUUGAAAGUCUUAUUUAGCUAUGUAGGCUAUGGAACAAUGGUCGCUGCUCCUGACGAGGAUCGUGCUCAGGGACAUGAUUUAGCAGAAGGUUGUUAGAGUUAGGGAAGUAUGGUCAGGUUGCAGUUGGACUUGAUGAUCUUUAAGGCUUUUUCCAACCUGAGCAAUUCUAUGAUUCUGGAUGGAAGGAGCAGAUGCAGAUUUUUGCUCCUUUACACACUUUACCUCCCUGAAAGCCCUUAAGUGAGCUUCACAUCUCUCUCUGG
Molecule: long non-coding RNA, 1577 nt
Organism: Lagopus muta (rock ptarmigan)
Lineage: Eukaryota; Metazoa; Chordata; Aves; Galliformes; Phasianidae
Exons: 5
Source: RefSeq, a predicted model, not a curated record